CAACAACAUCACCUUCACCAACCUCUUCAUCUUCUGCUAUUCCACCAACUACAUCCUCCACUACCUCACUACCAUCACCACCACCAGCCCCUUCUUUGCCAUCAAAUUCUCCUGCCACUUCACCACUGCCUGCAACAACAUCACCUUCACCAACCUCUUCAUCUUCUGCUAUUCCACCAACUACAUCCUCCACUACCUCACUACCAUCACCACCACCAGCCCCUUCUUUGCCAUCAAAUUCUACUGCCACUUCACCACUGCCUGCAACAACUUUGCCUAAUCAGACCACUGAUCCCCCGGUCCCUUCAACCCCUUCUAAAUCUUCAGCUCCACCCCCUCAAUCCUCCCCGCCCUCAAACCCUGCUGCCCCACCUCCAUCCCCACCAUCAUCACCUCCACCAUCUCUAACAACACCCUCAGCGCCACCACCAUUAGCACCACCUCCAUCACCCCCAGCAUCCCCACCACCAGCCCCUCCAACAUCACCACCUCAAUCAACACCUAUUGUCCCUCCUCCAGCUGUCACUACUUCACCGCCCCCUCCUCCUGAUAUAUCCCCCCCUCCACCACCAGCAAGCAGCCCUCCCUCUAAACAGCCCUCCCCAACCGCUCCUGUGGCAUCCCCUCCUUCCCCUCAAGCUGUUGCCCCUUCCCCACCUUCCCCUGUUAAUGUCCCUACGCCUCCUUCCACUAAUUCACCGCCUCCACCAGCAGUCAAGGCCCCUGAAAGUUCUCCUGCACCUCCAAAUGUUACUCCGCCAUCUAGUUCUCAGUCUGGUAGUCCUCCAACUGUAACAAAUUCUCCUCCUCCUCCAACAUCUACAUUGCCAUCACCACCUACUUCUGUCCCGUCAACUUCUUUACCCCCUGUAGUACCUCCUCCUGCUCCUCCAGAUAAUUCAUCAACAACAGGAACUUCUCCUUUGUCGCCCUUACCCUCUAUCCCUACAGAAAAGCCAACUGCAAGAGCAACUAACGAUAGCAAUGUCUCUGCAAAUACAACAUCCACAGGUGCAGGGAAUUUUAACACUGGAGCUGCAGUGGCAAUAGGCAUUGUUGUUGGGUUUAUAAUACUCAGUUUUCUCGUAAUGGCUGUUUGGGUUGUACAGAAACGAAAAAGAAGGCAUGCUAAAUCAAAUAUUGGGUACACUGUGCCGUCCCCAUUUGCCUCCUCCCAGAAUUCAGAAUCAUUAUUUCUAAGGCCCCAUUCUCAUGGACCUUUGGGAGGAAGCCCUUCUGGCAGUGAUUUGAUCUAUUCACCUUCAGAGCCAGGAGGAGUAAGCAAUUCAAAGUCAUGGUUCACAUAUGAGGAGCUAGUACAAGCCACAAAUGGGUUUUCAACACAAAAUCUUUUGGGUGAAGGUGGAUUUGGUUGUGUAUACAAAGGUAUCCUGGUGGAUGGCAGAGAAGUAGCUGUAAAACAAUUAAAGAUGGGCGGUUCUCAAGGAGAGCGUGAGUUUAAAGCUGAGGUUGAGAUUAUUAGCCGAGUACAUCANNCCGCCAUUUAGUUUCGCUAGUGGGUUACUGUAUAUCCGAGAAUCAAAGAUUGCUCAUCUAUGACUAUGUCCCAAACAAUACCCUUCACUACCAUCUCCACGAUGAAGGGAGGCCAGUUAUGGAUUGGGCAAUUCGGGU
Molecule: unclassified non-coding RNA, 1635 nt
Filed under: Hevea brasiliensis (rubber tree)
Lineage: Eukaryota; Viridiplantae; Streptophyta; Magnoliopsida; Malpighiales; Euphorbiaceae
Source: RNAcentral